RNAcentral lists this ribosomal RNA (1224 nucleotides) under metagenome. RNAcentral's name for it is "SSU rRNA". It matches the Rfam family "Eukaryotic small subunit ribosomal RNA", at positions 600 to 1772 of the family's 1831-position model. The record is from RNAcentral.
UAUAUUAAUGUUCCUGCAGUUAUUCGAUGCUCGUAGUUGGAUUUCUGGGGGCUGAGAUUGGAAGGUGGCCAAGGUCACCGUCGAACUCUUCCAUCAUCCACCUGAUAACGUUGUCCGGGAUUUGUUUCUCGGCUUCAGGCUCAGGUAUUUUACCCUUUCUAUAUAUUCAUUUAUUUAUCUUCUUUUUGAGUAAAUUAUAGUGUUUCAGGCAGGCGUGCGCCGGAAUACUUUAGCAUGGAAUAAUCGAAUUGGACCGUGUAUUCUUAUAGAAUUCUUCCUUAUUUGUUGGUUUCAAGGACACGGAAAUGGUUAAUAGGGAUAGUGUUUUCAGGGGAGGCAUUAGUAUUUAAUUUCCAGAGGUGAAAUUCUUUGAAAUAUUAAAGACUAACUUAUGCGAAAGCAUUUAUUUUGCCAAUAAUGUUUUCAUUAAUCAUUGAACGAAAGUUAGGGGAUCAAAGACGAUCAGAUACCGUCCUAGUCUUAACCAUAAACGUUGCCGACUAGGGAUCGGAGGGCGUGCACAUUCCGCCUUCGGCACCUUACGAGAAAUCAAAGUCUUUUGGGUUCUGGGGGUAGUAUGGUCGCAAGGCUGAAACUUAAAGGAAUUGACGGAAGGGCACCACCAGGAGUGGAGCUUGCGGCUCAAUUUGACUCAACACGGGAAAUCUUACCAGGUCCAGACAUAGCGAGGAUUGACAGAUUGAUAGCUCUUUCUUGAUUCUAUGGGUAUUUAUUUUAAUUUUGGUGGUGCAUGGCCGUUCUUAGUUGGUGGAGUGAUUUGUCUGGUUAAUUCCGUUAAACGAACGAGACCUCAGCCUGCUAAAUAGUUACCUGUCUUUCUUUUACGAGACUUGAUAACUUCUUAGAGGGACGUUGUGUGCAACCACAAGGAAGUUGAGGCAAUAACAGGUCUGUGAUGCCCUUAGAUGUCCUGGGCCGCACGCGUGCUACACUGAUACGUACAACAAGGUAUAUGCAUUUAUGCAUCGAUGCUGCUCCGAAAUAGACACAGCUAAAUCUUCUAAAAUACGUAUCGUGCUGCGGAUAGAUCGUUGAAAUUAUGGAUCUUGAAGGUGGAAUUCCUAGUAAGCGCGGGUCAUCAACCCGCGUUGAUUACGUCCCUGCCCUUUGUACACACCGCCCGUCGCUCCUACCAAUUUCGAGUGGCUCGGUGAACCUCUUUGGACUGUCGAGCAAUCGCGAAAUUAGAGUGAACCUGGUCAC